GGGCGAUUAGCUCAGUUGGGAGAGCACCUGCCUUACAAGCAGGGGGUCGGCGGUUCGAGCCCGUCAUCGCCCACCA
Molecule: transfer RNA, 76 nt
Filed under: Thermotomaculum hydrothermale
Lineage: Bacteria; Pseudomonadati; Acidobacteriota; Holophagae; Thermotomaculales; Thermotomaculaceae
Also listed under: 3 other names
Description: tRNA-Val
Rfam family: tRNA
About the family: Transfer RNA (tRNA) molecules are approximately 80 nucleotides in length. Their secondary structure includes four short double-helical elements and three loops (D, anti-codon, and T loops). Further hydrogen bonds mediate the characteristic L-shaped molecular structure. tRNAs have two regions of fundamental functional importance: the anti-codon, which is responsible for specific mRNA codon recognition, and the 3' end, to which the tRNAs corresponding amino acid is attached (by aminoacyl-tRNA synthetases). tRNAs cope with the degeneracy of the genetic code in two manners: having more than one tRNA (with a specific anti-codon) for a particular amino acid; and 'wobble' base-pairing, i.e. permitting non-standard base-pairing at the 3rd anti-codon position.
Source: RNAcentral